Long non-coding RNA from Helianthus annuus (common sunflower), 226 nucleotides. RefSeq lists it as uncharacterized. The record is from RefSeq and is a predicted model, not a curated record. Lineage: Eukaryota; Viridiplantae; Streptophyta; Magnoliopsida; Asterales; Asteraceae. The transcript is spliced from 3 exons.
AAAACCCUAAUUUUGUUCAUCGCCGACAAGCAAAUCUACCACCAUCUCUUUCGAUUUCAUUAACAUCUGCAUUGUUUUGGGUUUUAUCUCAUCUUUUGUGACAAACAAUCUAUGGUGCUGAGUUGAUUGAUUCAGUUCUAGAUUUCCAACGAGCGAUGAUUGAAGUAGAGAUCUCUAAAGCAAUGGUGUGGUAACUCAAGUGGCGGCGGCGGCGGUGGUGGUGGUG